CCUACGGGUGGCUGCAGUGGGGGAUAUUGCACAAUGGGGGGAACCCUGAUGCAGCGACGCCGCGUGGGUGAAGGAGCGCUUCGGCGCGUAAAGCCCUAUCGGCAGGGAAGAAGGAGGACGGUACCUGACUAAGAAGCCCCGGCUAACUACGUGCCAGCAGCCGCGGUAAUACGUAGGGGGCAAGCGUUAACCGGAUUUACUGGGUGUAAAGGGGGCGCAGACGGCAGCGCAAGCCAGGAGUGAAAGCCCGGGGCCCAACCCCGGGACUGCUCUUGGAACUGCGCGGCUGGAGUGCCGGAGGGGUAGGCGGAAUUCCUGGUGUAGCGGUGAAAUGCGUAGAUAUUAGGAGGAACACCAGUGGCGAAGGCGGCCUACUGGACGGUGACUGACGCUGAUGCACGAAAGCGUGGGUAUCAAACAGGAUUAGAUACCCGAGUAGUC
This 441-nucleotide ribosomal RNA is filed under the name uncultured bacterium. Its description in RNAcentral is "partial 16S ribosomal RNA". It matches the Rfam family "Bacterial small subunit ribosomal RNA", at positions 338 to 795 of the family's 1533-position model. The record is from RNAcentral.